AGCUCCAAUAGCGUAUAUUAAAGUUGUUGCAGUUAAAAAGCUCGUAGUUGAAUUUCUGGUCAAUUUUAGUUUUGGCUUCGGUCAGUCUAAGGUUGGCCAUCCGUCUGCAAGCUGUUGUCGUCCUUCACUGUGUCGCUUCAGCGAGCUGACAUUUUACUUUGAAAAAAUUAGAGUGUUUCAGGCAGGCUUUUGCCCGAAUACAUUAGCAUGGAAUAAUGGAAUUGGACUCUGGUCCAUUUGGUUGGUUAUUGGAUCUGAGUAAUGGUUAAUAGGGACAGUUGGGGGCAUUAGUAUUUAAUUGUCAGAGGUGAAAUUCUUGGAUUUAUUAAAGACUAACUUAUGCGAAAGCAUUUGCCAAGGAUGUUUUCA
This 369-nucleotide ribosomal RNA is filed under the name uncultured eukaryote. Its description in RNAcentral is "SSU rRNA". It matches the Rfam family "Eukaryotic small subunit ribosomal RNA", at positions 587 to 972 of the family's 1831-position model. The record is from RNAcentral.